RNAcentral lists this ribosomal RNA (495 nucleotides) under uncultured bacterium. Its description in RNAcentral is "partial 16S ribosomal RNA". It matches the Rfam family "Bacterial small subunit ribosomal RNA", at positions 28 to 505 of the family's 1533-position model. The record is from RNAcentral.
GAUGAACGCUGGCGGCGUGCCUAAUACAUGCAAGUCGAGCGAACAGACGAGGAGCUUGCUCCUCUGACGUUAGCGGCGGACGGGUGAGUAACACGUGGAUAACCUACCUAUAAGACUGGGAUAACUUCGGGAAACCGGAGCUAAUACCGGAUAAUAUAUUGAACCGCAUGGUUCAAUAGUGAAAGACGGUUUUGCUGUCACUUAUAGAUGGAUCCGCGCCGCAUUAGCUAGUUGGUAAGGUAACGGCUUACCAAGGCAACGAUGCGUAGCCGACCUGAGAGGGUGAUCGGCCACUCUGGAACUGACACGCGGUCCAGACUCCUGCGGGAGGCAGCAGUAGAGAAUCGUCCGCAAGGGGCGAAAGCCUGACGGAGCAACGCCGCGUGAGUGAUGAAGGUCUUCGGAUCGUAAAACUCUGUUAUUAGGGAAGAACAAAUGUGUAAGUAACUAUGCACGUCUUGGCGAUACCUAAUCAGAGAGCCACGUCUAUCUACG